This 488-nucleotide ribosomal RNA is filed under the name uncultured Glomus. RNAcentral's name for it is "SSU rRNA". It matches the Rfam family "Eukaryotic small subunit ribosomal RNA", at positions 569 to 1061 of the family's 1831-position model. Lineage: Eukaryota; Fungi; Glomeromycota; Glomeromycetes; Glomerales; Glomeraceae. The record is from RNAcentral.
AGCAGCCGCGGUAAUUCCAGCUCCAAUAGCGUAUAUUAAAGUUGUUGCAGUUAAAAAGCUCGUAGUUGAAUUUCGGGAUUAAUAUGCUGGUCGUGCCAUUGGUACGUACUAGUAUUAUUGAUUUCUCCCUUUUGAUGAAUCAUGAUGUCAUUAAUUUGAUGUCAUGGGGAAUCAGGACUGCUACUUUGAAAAAAUUAGAGUGUUUAAAGCAGGCUCGCGCUUGAAUACAUUAGCAUGGAAUAAUGAAAUAGGACGUUUGAUUCUAUUUUGUUGGUUUCUAGGAUUGACGUAAUGAUUAAUAGGGAUAGUUGGGGGCAUUAGUAUUCAAUUGUCAGGGGUGAAAUUCUUGGAUUUAUUGAAGACUAACUACUGCGAAAGCAUUUGCCAAGGAUGUUUUCAUUAAUCAAGAACGAAAGUUAGGGGAUCGAAGACGAUCAGAUACCGUCGUAGUCUUAACCAUAAACUAUGCCGACUAGGAUCGGAUAGAA